ACUGCAGGCUGCAACUCGCCUUCAUGAAGUCGGAAUUGCUAGUAAUGGCAGGUCAGCAUACUGCCGUGAAUACGUUCCCGGGCCUUGUACACACCGCCCGUCACACCAUGAGAGUUGGAGAUACCCGAAGCCUAUGAGCUAACUUUUAGAGGCAGUAGUCGAAGGUAGAAUCAAUGAUUGGGGUGAAGUCGUAACAAGGUAGC
RNAcentral lists this ribosomal RNA (203 nucleotides) under uncultured bacterium. RNAcentral's name for it is "partial 16S ribosomal RNA". It matches the Rfam family "Bacterial small subunit ribosomal RNA", at positions 1297 to 1500 of the family's 1533-position model. The record is from RNAcentral.